AUGGUCACCCCUGGUUGCUCCUCUGGCCGGAGCGACGGCGCCGCCUUCUUCCCGAUCGGCUUCGCCGGGUUUCCGACGGCCGUGGCUCCACACGCCACGUCUCUAAGCACGACCGCGCCCGCGCCGACCUUCGCUCCAUCGCCGAUGCGCACAUUGCCGAGCACGCUGGCCCCGGCGCCGAUGAGAACCCCGUCGCCGACCUUGGGGUGCCGGUCGCCGCAUGCCUUCCCCGUGCCGCCCAGCGUCACGCCGUGCAGGAUAGACACGUCGUCGCCUAUGACCGCCGUCUCGCCGAUGACGACGCCCGUGGCGUGGUCGAGCAGGAUGCCCCCGCCAAUGCGCGCCCCGGGGUGGAUGUCGACGCCGAACACCUCGGAAGCGCGGCUCUGGAGGAGCAGCGCCGGCGGGCGGCGGCCCUCGGACCAGAGCGCGUGCGCGGCGCGGUGGGCCUGCAGGGCGAGGAAGCCCUUGUAG
RNAcentral lists this ribosomal RNA (474 nucleotides) under Triticum aestivum (bread wheat). Its description in RNAcentral is "partial small subunit ribosomal RNA". The record is from RNAcentral. Lineage: Eukaryota; Viridiplantae; Streptophyta; Magnoliopsida; Poales; Poaceae.